AGUGAACGCUGGCGGCGUGCCUAACACAUGCAAGUCGAACGAUGAUGGAUGAGCUUGCUCAUCCUGAUUAGUGGCGCACGGGUGAGUAUACCAUAGAUAAUGUACCCCUUAGUUCGGGAUAGCCACUGGAAACGGUGAUUAAUACCGGAUACUCCUUCUUGCCAUAAGGUAAGUCGGGAAAGUUUUUUCGCUAAGGGAUCAGUCUAUGUCCUAUCAGGUAGUUGGUGAGGUAACGGCUCACCAAGCCUAUGACGGGUAUCUGGUUUGAGAGGAUGAUCAGACACACUGGAACUGAGACACGGUCCAGACUCCUACGGGAGGCAGCAGUGAGGAAUAUUGCACAAUGGAGGAAACUCUGAUGCAGCAACGCCGCGUGGAGGAUGACGCAUUUCGGUGUGUAAACUCCUUUUAAGAGGGAAGAUUAUGACGGUACCUCUUGAAUAAGCACCGGCUAACUCCGUGCCAGCAGCCGCAGUAA
RNAcentral lists this ribosomal RNA (478 nucleotides) under uncultured bacterium. RNAcentral's name for it is "partial 16S ribosomal RNA". It matches the Rfam family "Bacterial small subunit ribosomal RNA", at positions 29 to 523 of the family's 1533-position model. The record is from RNAcentral.